Molecule: ribosomal RNA, 727 nt
Filed under: uncultured bacterium
Lineage: Bacteria
Description: bacterial SSU rRNA
Rfam family: Bacterial small subunit ribosomal RNA
Source: RNAcentral
AACAGGAUUAGAUACCCUGGUAGUCCACGCCCUAAACGAUGCACACUAGUUGUUGCGAUGCUAGUCAUUGCAGUAAUGCACUUAACAGAUUAAGUGUGCCGCCUGGGGAGUACGGUCGCAAGAUUAAAACUCAAAGGAAUAGACGGGGACCCGCACAAGCGGUGGAGCAUGUGGUUUAAUUCGAAGAUACACGAAGAACCUUACCUGGCCUUGAUAUCCUAAGAAUCCUGUAGAGAUACGGGAGUGCUAGUUUACUAGAACUUAGAGACAGGUGCUGCACGGCUGUCGUCAGCUCGUGUCGUGAGAUGUUGGGUUAAGUCCCGCAACGAGCGCAACCCUCGUGAUUAGUUGCUAACAGUUCGGCUGAGCACUCUAAUCAGACUGCCUUCGUAAGGAGGAGGAAGGUGAGGACGACGUCAAGUCAUCAUGGCCCUUAUGGCCAGGGCUACACACGUGCUACAAUGGCUAGGACAAAGAGACGCGAUACCGCGAGGUGGAGCAAAUCUUAAAACCUAGUCUCAGUUCGGAUUGGAGUCUGCAACUCGACUCCAUGAAGCUGGAAUCGCUAGUAAUCGUAGAUCAGAUAUGCUACGGUGAAUACGUUCCCGGGUCUUGUACUCACCGCCCGUCACACCAUGGGAGUUGAAUUCACCCGAAGCCGGAAUACUAAACUAGUUACCGACCACGGUGGGUUCAGCGACUGGGGUGAAGUCGUAACAAGGUAACC